This 509-nucleotide ribosomal RNA is filed under the name Pinnularia borealis complex sp. Its description in RNAcentral is "partial 28S ribosomal RNA". The record is from RNAcentral. Lineage: Eukaryota; Bacillariophyta; Bacillariophyceae; Sellaphorales; Pinnulariaceae.
AGAGGGUGAAACUCCCGUGUGACUGGACUGACGAAGCAAGCACUAAUGAGUCGAGUUGUUUGGGAUUGCAGCUCAAAUACGGUGGUAAAUUUCAUCUCAAGCUAAAUACUCAAAGGAGACCGAUAGAGAAAAAGUACCGUGAGGGAAAGAUGACAAGAACUUUGAAAAGAGAGUGAAAGAGUACCUGAAAUUGCUGAAAAGGAAGCGAACRAACCUAGUGAAAGCAAUGUCAUACUUUCCAACUUGCUCGCAACUUGGACGCUGUGGCUUGCCAAGUUCCACUGCAUCGCAGUCUGCAGUGCAAGCAGGUGGACAACAGUUUUGUUGUUCCACUCCCGCACUGCCUGCAAUGCAGUGGAACGAAAUAGAUUUGUUUGUCCCGUCUAGAAACACGGACCAAGGAGUCUAACAUAUGUGCGAGUACAAAGGCAGCAUGCCUUGGUGCGCAAUGAAAGUGUCAGAGGCUGGAAUGCUGUUACAGGCAGUGCACAGUCCGCCGGCCCCCAUCC